UCCCUUACUCCUACGGGAGGCAGCAGUAGGGAAUCUUCCACAAUGGGCGAAAGCCUGAUGGAGCAACGCCGCGUGUGUGAUGAAGGGUUUCGGCUCGUAAAACACUGUUGUAAGAGAAGAAUGACAUUGAGAGUAACUGUUCAAUGUGUGACGGUUCUACCAGAAAUGAACAG
RNAcentral lists this ribosomal RNA (173 nucleotides) under uncultured Weissella sp. RNAcentral describes it as "partial 16S ribosomal RNA". It matches the Rfam family "Bacterial small subunit ribosomal RNA", at positions 329 to 496 of the family's 1533-position model. The record is from RNAcentral. Lineage: Bacteria; Bacillati; Bacillota; Bacilli; Lactobacillales; Lactobacillaceae.